Long non-coding RNA from Perca flavescens (yellow perch), 297 nucleotides. RefSeq lists it as uncharacterized. Lineage: Eukaryota; Metazoa; Chordata; Actinopteri; Perciformes; Percidae. The record is from RefSeq and is a predicted model, not a curated record. The transcript is spliced from 3 exons.
GUUUGAACAACGCAGCAAGGCGGGAUGCAACAGACAGUAGGCUUGCAGAAAGUUACUACCUACGGAGCAGCACUGGACUUACUGAAAUCCAUGACAUCCACACCAAGCGCACUACUGUUCUCCACGCCCUUCCUGUGUAUCUGCGCGAGGACGUCUCUGGAUUUUUAAGAACCUGCACGGAUGAGUCCGAUGAGCCAGAGCUUGAUGGUGUUUGCAGUGGGCUUCAUUACUUUCAUCAGUGACUAUGACGCAAGUCCAGUUCACUACCACCCUGUGAGAAUCACUGUCGUCAUUGAA